UGAUAGUGACUCUCACUUGGAGCAUGCUA
Molecule: non-coding RNA, 29 nt
Filed under: Homo sapiens (human)
Lineage: Eukaryota; Metazoa; Chordata; Mammalia; Primates; Hominidae
Source: RNAcentral